AAAAUGUUCCUUGGGUUUCUGCAGCAGCUGGAAGAUGAGAGGGCCCUAACUCCAUCAAAAAGACUGCUUUGGUCCAGAGGGGUGUAUGUGUGUAUUAAAGUCUCACCUCGUAUCUGUGGUUUUCUACUGCCCAUCUGCUGUGUGAGCCAUCCAUGAAACAGCAUCAUUGUCUGCACAAGAGAACAGUGAAGAGAUGGAUGUUUAUUAUUGUCCAUUUUCAGAUUACUGCUUUCAGAUACUGCCUCUGGUAUGCAAACACAAAUACGAAGGUAAAUGACAACAAUGACCAAUUCAGUACUGAGGAAACACAGCCGUGUCACCCCAGGAAAGAAGAGAAAACAUGAUACUUGUGAUAGCAGAAUGGGACCUUCAGUUUUGGAGCAGAUGCCCAGAGAGGAGACCAGGUUCACUUCAUUUGUGCACAUAUUUCACUGUUGCUGCACUGAACCAACAUGAAAUGCUGCAUCAGAGAAACAGCUAUUUAAGGAAGCUUGGACCUACAGUUGCUCCAUGUAUUUUUGGACCCCAAAUUUUAAAAUGGAUAAGAAGAUAGACAUUGCUGGCCUAUACGAAAUGACACAAGAAAAGAAGCUCAUCAUGAAACCUGGAGUUGAAAUGUAUCACGUACCAUAUUAUUUGACAUUCAUGAAUACCACACUUCUGAUAUAAAAGACCUAUUAAUAUGUUCUAUGUUUUUACCUAGCAGUAACUUUCUAAUUGUGAUCAGGUAAUCCUUAUCUCUGUACAGAUAUCAUCAAAACGGAAUGGGUGUCCCAAGGGAGUUGAACUGACUCCCCAAAUACCUGUAGAUUUUAAAAUAUUUUAAACUAUAAUACAGUACUGAAAUCCAAAUUAGCAGUUCCUAUGGCAACCACAGUUUAUACACGGAAAAUAUCUGUCCUAAACAAUCUAUCCAGUGAUGCAUGAACCAUGCUGUAAGAAUUACAGCAUUCUGUAUUACACUAAUUUUGAAUCCUAAAACUCUCCUGCUCACCAACGCUAAGAUCACUUUAUGUGGACUAUUACAAGACUUACUCUGCUGAAGUGCAAAAAAGCACAUCUGUUUGUAGUAAGGAUGCAGAGAACUCAUUAUAAUAGGAUUUGGACAUCUAUAAUUGCUAUGUUCUGUUCGAAGACCUUCUGUCAUAUUCAUAUAAUCUUUAUUGGAGAUAUCCAAACAAAAUGAUUCAUAAAAAGCAAUAAUUAAUUGGAGGAAUGCCAGAGAUCUAAAACAAACACUACCAUUAUCAUCUCUGGUAAGCCCAAAAUAGCCUCGAGAGAUGCCACUGUCACAAUGAAAAAGCUUUCAGAACAGUCUGAAGAUGUAUUCUACAUGUUAAUAGAAUUAUUCUGCACAGUCUAAGACCUUGAGAGGUAUAUUUAGAAUACCAUUUUUUUGAAAAUAAGCUGUCUACAAUAUUGCUGCUAACUGACAGCUGUCUCUAAUUUAAGGACCAGGUCAUGGAACAUUUUGUUUGUGUAAAGUGAAAAGGGAACCCAGCUCUUACCGCAGCUGAAUGCUCCAGCCUAGGAGGGCAAAACGAAGAAAGGAAAUUUCACUUGGCUACCAUUUGUUGUCAUCCUUACGUAUGUGGGAAGGCAUGAAGAGUGUGGAAAGUCAGUACUCAAUAUAGCUGCAAAUUUGGGUGUGUAAGCAUUAUGAUACACUGUAAAACCUAUAAGCAACCUUAUUGUAUUUUCUUUUGUUUAUCUUGAUUGUGGAAAGGUCAUGUACCUUGAAUAAGUACAUAAGCAUGUUACUGGAAUUAAUUCAGGAAAAAUUAUUAGAUCCACCAAUAAAAUAUGUUG
This is a long non-coding RNA of Gallus gallus (chicken), 1809 nucleotides long. The record is from Ensembl. NCBI's taxonomy places the organism in Eukaryota, Metazoa, Chordata, Aves, Galliformes, Phasianidae.